Molecule: long non-coding RNA, 2862 nt
Organism: Equus caballus (horse)
Lineage: Eukaryota; Metazoa; Chordata; Mammalia; Perissodactyla; Equidae
Source: Ensembl
UGGCACUGACCCACCUGAGAAGGCUGGGGAGGGUGUGGUAAUCAUGAAAGCUUGAAGGCCAAGACAGAGGAUCUUCAGGAAGAGGCAGAGCUCAGCACCUGCGUCUCCCAGUAGUUUGUGCCUCAGAUUUCUUGUUCUGGACGUCCUCCAUGCCUGUUUUCUGAAGCUACCUGGAAACCAGUGACUAUCCCAACAAAAAAUGUCUAAAAUCCUCCUGUAUUACUUAGGCCUUUAAAGGUGUUUGAUUUCUUCCCCCACCGUGGCCCACCUGCACAGGAGUUCCUCUUUGAGGGCAACAAGCAUGGAGGCUGAGAGUUAAUGAUUAGACCCACAUUCUUGCACAAAAGGAAACCAAAUCAGAACCAGACUAACCAGAGGAGGCUGAAGAAAAUUAAUAGGUGGCAGAAAACCUUAUAAAAAGAAAACAAGGGAACUUUGCUGCAGAACAACAGCCCUUCGAAUGUCCGAGUGGGAAGAGACAGAGAGCAUCCUGUCCAACCCCUCCUGUAUUGAAGUAUUCAUUCUUCCUUUCUCUGCUGUCUCAUAAGCAUUUAUAUCAGCUUUCACAAGCUUUCAGCUCCAAUUUAGAAGGUAGCUCCUCAAAGUCAGAGUGACGAUCUCCAAUUUCUUCUUCAUCUUCUACAGCACUCUGCACAUGGCUGGCGUUCAAUAAAUGUUUUUAGAACUCAAAUGUAAGAGGUAUGAGUAAAAACCUUGAACGAGAUAUGUUUUUUCCUUUUUCCUAGAGCCGAAACAGAAAAUGACCGUCUGUUGGUUACAGAUCUGAGGAUAAGCCCCGCCAAGGACGCCGGAUGUGUGCUCACGGACUGUCUGGGCCCGCUGCAUCGAAGGCUUCCCCACCUGGGAUUCCCUCUCAGGUGCUUAAAACCGUGGCUCCUGCCACCACCCCCACAAAGAGGCCAACAGCAGUGCCUGUGCUUGUACGCCUAAAGUGCUUUUUCUCAAAGCUGCAUAUCUUGUCAAAAUUGUUUGCCCACAUCACUGCAAUCUGUGUGCAGGGAAGCCUGAAACAAGUCCGCGUUUGGAAAGCAAUGGAAAGUACAAGAGGUUCUGAAAUUCAUAAGCCUGGGAAAGCAAUGAUUCAGAGAGAAGCUGUCUUCUCAGUUCUUCCAAAUUGAAAGCACUCAAGGCCAUAGAGCAGCUGCUGCUUGCCUAGGCUGGUUCCUAUUGACCUGACUUGACCUUGUGCCUCGUGUUUGAAUUGGGCCCCCAGCCAGGAAACCACAGCCCCCCUCCAAGACCAAGUCUGACCUACACACCUCUCCUCCUCCCUGCGGAAGGACAGCAGGGGAGCCAGGCCGCAGAGAGAGGGCUGAAAGUUGGGUCAAAGGAGUUGCUUUGUUAAAGGGUUAACACCAACGCAGUUAUCUGGGCCUCCUGCCUUCCCUUUCCGCUAAUCUGCUGGCUUCUCAUCCUUUACAUUUUAUAGUUUUUAGUUCCAAUUACAGGUGAUUAAUAAUUAAAUGAUUGCUAAUUCUUUUCGAUCCCCUGGAAGUCACGACAAUCUAAGCAAUGGUGGUACAAUCGUGGCCUGAGAGGGAGAUUGAGACAGACAGACCGAAAUUACAAUGUUUUCUUUCCUGUGUAAAAAUUAUAACAUUUACAAAUGAAGUGGGAUGUAGUUCAUAGUCUUCAAUCUAUAAACAAACAUUUUAUUCUUUUUGAAUUAUGUUUUUCCUCUCUUAUUUCCCAAGUAAUCUACAUGUUCUCAAGACAUGGGGAGGAGAAGAAAAGCAACCUUAUCAUUCAGGGAUUACGACCUUCCUUGGCUCCAACGAUUCAACUUUAAAUAUUUACUUGGCAGCUGAUUCAAAUUCAAAUAAACUUGCAGUUAUUGGGUGAAAUAAAGUGUGCCCCAUACUCAAAGCACUUAUAAUGUGUGGAAAUUUUUCAACUGUCCUAAUAUUUAUGUUUCCAGUUUGACCCAGAGUAAGUUGCGUCACUUAUUACAGAAUGACAUGAGGUUACGGCCAACCCCAAAGAUCUCAGUCAAGGAAUCUUCUCUGAUGCUGCAUUUGACUUCCCAGAGUCUGCAAAACUAAGUCCUUCCUGAAAAACAGUGAAUCUAUAUGAUAUGUGUGUGCGUACAGCUUGGUGACGAAUGCCAGGCGUAUUUCUAACAUUUCAGAACAACUCAAAGAACUAGCAACUAGAGAAACCUUCACGUAACCACCUCCACUUCAUAUUAAUUCUUCUCUUCGUCCUCCCUCAAAGUGAUUGGACUAUGUUAUCCUAUUCUUCUUGCGUUCCCCACUUUCCCUAGCAUAGAUUUUAUAUCUACAGAAGCUGGACUUUAACCGCUUUAGAGGGAGGAGCCCUUUACUUACAGCAGAUACUCAGCAGAUAUUUGGGAAGGAACAAAUGAACAAAUGGAUGAAUGAGUGAUUACCUGAUUCAGACAAAGUCCCUUUGCUAACGAGGUCUUCUUGCUACCUAUCUCCUUCACUCCUAGCUCCAAUAUUCUUUGGAAUUCCAAGGUUCUGCAUGCGUGGGAGAGUAUUUGGGUUUGGGGAGACAUCCAAGAACACUACCCACAGCAAGGAUCAGGCACACUUGCACGGUACUAUCCCUUCAUGGCGAAUUGACUAGUGGUCAGUGACAAAUGAAUGCCGAGCAUGUAUCCGUAUCAGAGAUACUCAUAGCACUUGUGUAAAGUUUGCAGCGCUUCUCAUCUGACGCAUUGAUGAUGAGGUUUAUGAACAAACAGAUAUUGUACUAUUAAUGAUUCCGCUUUGAAACAACCGUUUUCUAUUAGUUCUCUCAAGCUCCUGAAUCAGUUUCAUUGAAGAGUAUCCUGAGAUUGCAAGGCAAACUAUUCCUGUGUGGACCAAUAUUUUCUUG